GAGCUGUGCCAGAAACUUAUUACCAACCGCCGGUGCAACAGGAUUUCUGGCUGCGGUUCCAGCUUCACACAGUGUAGUUGUGCAGAUUUGAAUUACCCGCGGUUCUGGACCGCUGCCUGCAACCAUGGUGCGGCGAGGAUGCAGUAAUUCAAUUGACCGAUUUGGGCAUUGCUUUUGCAGUAUCUCAUUUCCCAGUGUUCAGUGCACUCCCCUCGAAAUCCUUCACUCGACGCCCUAGAUUUCCUUCCCUCCUCUCCGCCGCACGAAACCCUCCUGCUCGGCCGAAUGAAUCCUUUGGGAGUUUGAUCAAGAGCACGAGCUUUGAUGCUUGAACUCGUUUCACAGCCGCCAAUCCUCGUGUCUUUUGAAGUUUGAACUCAUUUCACGAGAUUUGAAGUUUCAGAACUCGCUUCAGAGAAAGGAUUAUAGGGAAAGUCAAAGUGUGAAACUGGAUGCUGUGCCAUGGCUUUAACAGUAGUUUCCUGUGGGUUGGAUUUUCAGAAAGGUCAAGGAUAUGAUCUCUAGUACAAAUCACAGUAAAUGAAAAUAAAGUUCAGUGUAGAAUGAUUUUGAAAACAGGAUUCUAUGGAUGGAUGGUGAAUGGGAAACAAACCCCAGAAGAACCAUGGAGGCUGAAAUUGAUGGGAAAGACAUAAAUAGAAUAGGGAAAUUGGAAUUCUAAUUACAGCUGCAGCUGCCUGUGCUGGACAGCAUGCUUGCUAUACUCUGCUGUUGUAGUUUCACAAACAAUUGACAUUUUAGAAACCAUAGAUGGAAGUAUCUUGACCCAGUUCAAUCAAAUUCAAUAGAGCUUGGCAGGCUACUGGUAAUGCAAAUGGAUAUGGGCAUCUGCUGAAUUGGUUUAAGCUGUUUGGUACUUAUUCUGUGAGAGAGAAGGUUACAGACACGAGUCUUUUUAAUGGACAAAAGUGUUAUUUAACUCUUCAAGUUGUGUUUCUUUAGGUGUAGCGGGUAAAAUUGAAAUGAUAUUCUGUGUUACAAGACA
Long non-coding RNA from Malania oleifera, 1006 nucleotides. RefSeq lists it as uncharacterized. The transcript is spliced from 3 exons. The record is from RefSeq and is a predicted model, not a curated record. NCBI's taxonomy places the organism in Eukaryota, Viridiplantae, Streptophyta, Magnoliopsida, Santalales, Ximeniaceae.